Long non-coding RNA from Peromyscus eremicus (cactus mouse), 3276 nucleotides. RefSeq lists it as uncharacterized. The transcript is spliced from 3 exons. Lineage: Eukaryota; Metazoa; Chordata; Mammalia; Rodentia; Cricetidae. The record is from RefSeq and is a predicted model, not a curated record.
AGAAACAGCAGAAAGUUUAAAACUCAUGGAAACUGAACAAUACACUACUGAAUGAAAAAAAAUGGGUCAACAGAAAUUAAGAAACAAAUUAAGACUUUUUAAUUGAAAGAAAAUGAAAACACAACACACCUAAACCUAUUAGAUACAAUGAAGGUGAUUCAAAGAGGCAAAUUCAGAGCACUAAGUACCUACAUAAAAAAUCAGAGAGAUCCCAUAUCAGCAACUUAAUAGCACACCUAAAAGCUCUAGAACAAAAAAGAAAAAAAUAACAUCAAAAGGAGUAGACAGAAAGAAAUAAUCAAACUCCAGACAGAAACCAAUAAAACAGAAACAAGAAAAAGAAACAUACAAAAAAAUUACUAAAAUGAAGAGUUGGUUCUUUGAGAAAAACCAGUAAGAUUGUUGAACCCCUAGACAAAUUAAACUAAAAGAAUGGAGAUGAAAGGUCUAAAUUAGUGAAAUUAGAAACAAAAAAAUGGAACUGUCUUAGUUAGGGUUUCUAUUGCUGUGAAGAGACACCAUGACCAUGGCAACUCUGAUAAGGAAAACAUUUAAUUGGGGUGGCUCACUUACAGUUUCAGAGGUUCAGUCCAUUGUCAUCAUGGUGGGGAGCAUGGCAGCAUGCAGGCAGACGUGGUGCUGGAGAAAUAGUGUACUACAUCUUGCAGGCAACAGGAAGUCAAAUGAGACACUGGGCUGUAUCCUGAGCAUUGGACACCUCAAAGCCCGCCCCCAUAGUGACACUCUUCCUCCAAUAAGGCCACGCCCACUUCAACAAAGCCACACCUCUUAAUAGUGCCACUCCCUAUGAGAUUAUGGGGGCCAAUUACAUUCAAACUGCCACAGGAAAAUAUCAACAGGCACCUAGGAAACCCAGAGAAUCAUAAAGACAUACUUUAAAAACCUGUUCUCCAUCAAAUUGGAAAAUCUAUUCUUGAGGAUGCCAUACACUUAGGACACAAGACUCAGAGGACAUGAGAUGGUUCUGACUUGAAAGCCUCACCCUCAAGGACUAGUUUUCAUGGUACCAGAAGGUGCCAUGCCAGUGAUCAAUGGAGGAAAACCACCAAUAGUUCUAUGAUCUACAAAUAUGGUGUCUAUCAACCACAAAGACCAGCAUAGCAUGAUAAUCCGAAGGUUAUGAAAGUUACAGACAUACUUUGGUGGUAACUAAUCUUUCACUUAAAGAUUGCUCAACAAGAGGGAAAUCACUAGAAACCUAGCCAACUGCACAGUGUUGGUGAAAUCACGAAUCUUAGAGGAGAACUUACAGCCACCGCUGGAGGUGAAAUUUUCUUUGAGCUGCCAAUCAACUUCCCAAAUAAAGACAUGGAGACUUAUUAUUAAUUAUGAAUGCUCCACCUUAGCUUAGGCUUGUCCCACUAGCUCUUUUAACUUAAUUUAACCUGUUUCUAUCCAUCUAUAUUUUGCCUUGAGGCUUCUUACCUUUCUUUUGUUCUAUAUGUCCCACUUUCUGCUUCCUCUGUGUCUAUCUGGCCCCUGGCGUCUCCCUGUCAUCUGCUUUUUUCUUCUUUCUUCCUCCCUCAAGCCUCAAUUCCUCCUCCUAUUUAUUCUCCCUGCCUGGAAGUUCUGAUAUACCUCCCCCUUGCUAUUAGCCAUUCAGCUUUUUAUUAGACCAAUCAGAUGCCCUAGGCAGGAGAAGUAAAACAGCAACACAUCUUUACACAAUUUAACAAAUAUUCCUCAAUACACCACUUUACCAAACCAGCAUGAUUCCUAACUACAUUCUAAAUAUUUAUUCUUAUACCCACAGAUAAAUACAGAUGUCACUCCUCAUCAAAGAAAUAUCUCUUUGCAACAGGUGGAGACCAUUACAGAAAGUUACAACUGAUCCAAACCAGAGAACAGGUAACCAAAGUAGCUGACAUAAAAGAAGAUAUUCUAGACUAAGAAAGUUCUUCCAGAAGACCAAGAGAAACUAUAAAGAAAUUCACAUCAUAACUCUCCAAGAAGGUGCUCCAAGAAAGACUUCAGAGGAUUCGCUUGUCCUUUCCUCAAACAUGGGAUCUCCCAGGGCCACUGAACCUAGAGGUGUCUCGGUGUCAUCAGUGGAGGAUCUGGAGACUUCUUCACCAGUCAAGGCUGCUCCAUUUGGAGUUCUUCAUCAUAAUAUGGAGUGAUGAUGUUUCCUCUUCAUGAGUCCAGAUGUGUCAAAGAAACCAUGGGUUCAAACAUACGUGCACAUCUGCAGAAAUCAAGUGGCUCCAUCAGAGCUCUGCUGUUCAUUAAAGAUCAAGCUGCCAAUAUGAGUGUGCUCAGAUUAGCCCUUGUUGUAACGGCCCCAAUGCCAGUGUUUGCAUUCCUCCCAACUGAAAAUUUGUCAGAGAAGAAAGGCAUUAAACCUGUCACUGCAGAUAAAGAUCAGACAUCUGAUUUCAAACAGAAGAGACAAGCACCUUACCUCGGGCUCUCCUAACUCUGGAGUAUACUGUUCGAAGUCAAGAGGAGAACUAGACCAGAUUGGGACGGGGAAAUAAAUCCAAGUCUCACCGCCACUUCUGUCGGUACAGAGGAUAUUGGACUUUGAACAGAAAUCCAGAGCAGAGGAGAACGAACAGCCAGCCCUUCCCAUCUUCCUCUGAACACGGGUUCACAGAAUGAAAGCCUCUAGACAAGUCACAACCAUUUUCAGAAAAGUAAAAGCUUGGGAAGAUACAUUGAGAAAACAUUUGGACAUUUAAAAACUUACAGUAUCUCCCAAUGCCUACAUAUAAUCUUUGGAAGUUGGCACCAUGCUGUGCCUGGGGAGAAGGCUCGGCUUUAAGGUGCUUGCCUUGCAGGCAUGAGGACCUGAGGUCAGCAUCCACGCUAAAAAAAUAAAAAUAAAAACAGGCACGGUGGCACGCUUGUAAUCACACCACUGGGGAAGAGGGCCGGCGAGGACAGGAGGGUCUCUGUAACUCAGGAGCCUGGCAGCCUGGCUGAUUUUAAAGUUCCAGGUCAGUGAGAGACCCUGUCAGAAAAAAAAGAAAGAUUGGUGGUGCCUAAGCAACGACAUUUGAAGUUGUCCUCUGACAUCCACGUUCAUGCACAGAUACAAGCACACACACAGAGAUACGUGUACUUACACCCACACUCAUGCACAGAUACAAGCGUACACACAGAGAUACAUGUACUUACACCCACAUUCAUGCACAGAUACAAGCAUACACACAGAGAUACAUGUACUUACACAUAAAAGGAACUAGCUCUACACUGAUAAAUAAAAUGGAGACUGUCAAAAACCUUCCUCCUGCUGUCAGAGCCCUCUCCCAU